GGGGAAUUUUCCGCAAUGGGCGAAAGCCUGACGCAGCAACGCCGCGUGAGGGAUGAAGGCCUUCGGGUUGUAAACCUCUUUUCUCAGGGAAGAUAAUGACGGUACCUGAGGUAUAAGUCACGGCUAACUACGUGCCAGCAGCCGCGGUAAUACGUAGGUGGCCAGCGUUGUCCGGAUUUACUGGGCGUAAAGAGCGCGCAGGCGGUCGUUCAAGUCGAGUGUGAAAGCCCCCGGCUCAACUGGGGAGGGUCACUCGAUACUGAUCGACUCGAAGGCAGGAGAGGGAAGCGGAAUUCCCGGUGUAGUGGUGAAAUGCGUAGAUAUCGGGAGGAACACCAGUGGCGAAGGCGGCUUUCUGGCCUGCUCUUGACGCUGAGGCGCGAAAGCUAGGGUAGCAAAAGGGAUUAGAUACCCCUGUAGUA
This 422-nucleotide ribosomal RNA is filed under the name uncultured bacterium. RNAcentral describes it as "bacterial SSU rRNA". It matches the Rfam family "Bacterial small subunit ribosomal RNA", at positions 356 to 795 of the family's 1533-position model. The record is from RNAcentral.